AAUGAACGCUGGCGGUGUGCCUAACACAUGCAAGUCGAGCGAACGUACGUUAAGCUUGCUUCUCUGAUGUUAGCGACGGACGGGUGAGUAACACGUGGAUAACCUACCUAUUAUUCUUGGAUAACUACGGUAAACCGUAUCUAAUACCACAUCAUAUUUUGUACCGCAUGGUUCAAUAGUGCAUGACGGUCUUGCUGUCACUUCUAGCCGGAUCCGUGUUGCAUUAGCUAGUUGGUAAGGUAACGGCUUACCAAGGAAACGAUGCAUAGCCGACCUGAGAGGGUGAUCGGCCACACUGGAACUGAGACACGGUCCAGACUCCUACGGGAGGCAGCAGUAGGGAAUCUUCGGCAAUGGGCGAAAGCCUGACGGAGCAACGCCGCGUGAGUGAUGAAGGUCUUCGGAUCGUAAAACUCUGUUAUUAGGGAAGAACAUAUGUGUAAGUAACUGUGCAGAUCUUGACGGUACCUAAUGAAAAAGCCACGGCUAACUACGUG
RNAcentral lists this ribosomal RNA (497 nucleotides) under uncultured bacterium. RNAcentral describes it as "partial 16S ribosomal RNA". It matches the Rfam family "Bacterial small subunit ribosomal RNA", at positions 29 to 507 of the family's 1533-position model. The record is from RNAcentral.